RNAcentral lists this ribosomal RNA (497 nucleotides) under uncultured bacterium. RNAcentral's name for it is "partial 16S ribosomal RNA". It matches the Rfam family "Bacterial small subunit ribosomal RNA", at positions 28 to 507 of the family's 1533-position model. The record is from RNAcentral.
GACGAACGCUGGCGGCGUGCCUAAUACAUGCAAGUAGAACGCUGAAGCUUGGUGCUUGCACCGAGCGGAUGAGUUGCGAACGGAUGAGUAACGCGUAGGUAACCUGCCUGGUAGCGGGGGAUAACUAUUGGAAACGAUAGCUACUACCGCAUAAGAGUAGAUGUUGCAUGACAUUUGCUUAAAAGGUGCAAUUGCAUCACCACCAGAUGGACCUGCGUUGUAUUAGCUAGUUGGUGAGGUAACGGCUCACCAAGGCAACGAUACAUAGCCGACCUGAGAGGGUGAUGGGCCACACUGGGACUGAGACACGGCCCAGACUCCUACGGGAGGCAGCAGUAGGGAAUCUUCGGCAAUGGACGGAAGUCUGACCGAGCAACGCCGCGUGAGUGAAGAAGGUUUUCGGAUCGUAAAGCUCUGUUGUAAGAGAAGAACGAGUGUGAGAGUGGAAAGUUCACACUGUGACGGUAUCUUACCAGAAAGGGACGGCUAACUACGUG